This 90-nucleotide non-coding RNA is filed under the name Ureibacillus endophyticus. RNAcentral's name for it is "Purine riboswitch". It matches the Rfam family "Purine riboswitch aptamer", at positions 7 to 96 of the family's 102-position model. Rfam says of the family: Riboswitches are metabolite binding domains within certain messenger RNAs that serve as precision sensors for their corresponding targets. Allosteric rearrangement of mRNA structure is mediated by ligand binding, and this results in modulation of gene expression. A class of riboswitches that selectively recognises guanine and becomes saturated at concentrations as low as 5 nM. Lineage: Bacteria; Bacillati; Bacillota; Bacilli; Caryophanales; Caryophanaceae. The record is from RNAcentral.
AAUUAAAUAAAUCGUCGUAUAAUGUCGAGAAUAUGGCUCGAAAGUUUCUACCAAGCUACCUUAAAUGGCUUGACUACGAUUAGAUAUAGA